GACGAACGCUGGCGGCGUGCUUAACACAUGCAAGUCGAACGGAAAGGCCCCGUUGGGGGUACUCGAGUGGCGAACGGGUGAGGAACACGUGAGUAACCUGCCCUUGACUGCGGGAUAACGUGAGGAAACUGGGGCUAAUACCGGAUAGGAAUCCGGGCGGCAUGGUGGGGGUUGGAAAGCUUCGGCGGUUUUGGAUGGAGGAGCGGCUUAGCAGCUUGUUGGUGGGCUCGUGGCUGCCCAAGGCUUUGACGGGUAGCCGGCCUGAGAGCUCGACCGGAAACCUUUCUCCUGAGAUCCUUCCACGCCUCCUCCUCGAGGCAGCAGUGGGGACUAUUGCACAAGUGGCGGAAGCCUGAUGCAGCAACUCCGCCUGCGGGAUGACGGCCUUCGGGUUGUAAACCGCUUUCAGCAGGGGCGAAGCUUGUGGUGACGGUACCUGCAGAAGAAGCACCGGCUAACUACGUG
RNAcentral lists this ribosomal RNA (465 nucleotides) under uncultured bacterium. Its description in RNAcentral is "partial 16S ribosomal RNA". It matches the Rfam family "Bacterial small subunit ribosomal RNA", at positions 28 to 507 of the family's 1533-position model. The record is from RNAcentral.